This is a long non-coding RNA of Drosophila biarmipes, 540 nucleotides long. RefSeq lists it as uncharacterized. The record is from RefSeq and is a predicted model, not a curated record. Lineage: Eukaryota; Metazoa; Arthropoda; Insecta; Diptera; Drosophilidae. The transcript is spliced from 3 exons.
UGAGCUAUUUGAUUAACAUUGUUCUGCGCUUGCUGUUUCGCUAAUGAAAGAACAAAAGCGAAUAUUUGGCCUGUAGGCACAGAGGUCACAAGGCAAAAACCAGGGACAGCCAUUUUAAACAUUUAUCAGAAAUAUGUUUUAUACUUUAUGCACGCUGCGAACUUCUUCCACUGAGAAAGUUUAGUCAUGGAUCAUUAUUUAAUCAUAAUAACCUAUCUGAUUAAUGCGUUCAUCAUACGAUUCGAUGUUUAUUGAUGACCUAAGGAUAUAAAACAACUUAUUAAAUGUCAUAUUUUGCAUGCCCGGGGCAAGACAAAGUCUAUGCGAUUGCGGCUCUGGAAUUGUUGAUGUUUGCACUGGCGAAACACCUUGGAGACUGGGAACGAGAUGAUCUAAUUGAAUGACAAUAUUAUGCCAAGGUCUAAUUCAAUUUGCAAUUUGCAUUGCUUGGGAAGCGCUGCAGGUGGAGGAACAUGGCUGGGACCUGGGUUGAAUCUUAAACAAACACGGCAAUUACAGCAAACGGAUGCACUUGUCUGC